RNAcentral lists this ribosomal RNA (498 nucleotides) under uncultured bacterium. Its description in RNAcentral is "partial 16S ribosomal RNA". It matches the Rfam family "Bacterial small subunit ribosomal RNA", at positions 28 to 507 of the family's 1533-position model. The record is from RNAcentral.
GACGAACGCUGGCGGCGUGCCUAAUACAUGCAAGUCGAGCGGACGGAUGGGAGCUUGCUCCCAGACCGUCAGCGGCGGCCGGGUGAGUAACACGUGGGCAACCUGCCUGUAAGACUGGGAUAACUCCGGGAAACCGGGGCUAAUACCGGAUAACUCUUUCCCUCCCAUGAGGGAAAGCUGAAAGAUGGCAUCUCGCUAUCACUUACAGAUGGGCCCGCGGCGCAUUAGCUAGUUGGUGAGGUAACGGCUCACCAAGGCGACGAUGCGUAGCCGACCUGAGAGGGUGAUCGGCCACACUGGGACUGAGACACGGCCCAGACUCCUACGGGAGGCAGCAGUAGGGAAUCUUCCGCAAUGGACGAAAGUCUGACGGAGCAACGCCGCGUGAGUGAUGAAGGUUUUCGGAUCGUAAAACUCUGUUGUCAGGGAAGAACGAGUACCGGAGUAACUGCCGGUACCGUGACGGUACCUGACCAGAAAGCCACGGCUAACUACGUG